UACGGAGGGUGCAAACGUUGCUCGGAAUCAUUGGGCGUAAAGCGCACGUAGGCGGCCGAUUAAGUCGGGUGUGAAAGCCCUGGGCUCAACCCAGGAAGUGCACACGAAACUGAUCGGCUUGAAUAUGGAAGAGGGUUGCGGAAUUCCCGGUGUAGAGGUGAAAUUCGUAGAUAUCAAGUGGAACACCAGUGGCGAAGGCGAGUCUCUGGACAUUUCCUGACGCUGAGACGCGAAAGCGUGGGGAGCGAACCGG
This 253-nucleotide ribosomal RNA is filed under the name uncultured bacterium. RNAcentral describes it as "partial 16S ribosomal RNA". It matches the Rfam family "Bacterial small subunit ribosomal RNA", at positions 524 to 776 of the family's 1533-position model. The record is from RNAcentral.